AACGCGAAGAACCUUACCAGGUCUUGACAUCUCCUGCAUAGCCUAGAGAUAGGUGAAGCCCUUCGGGGCAGGAAGACAGGUGGUGCAUGGUUGUCGUCAGCUCGUGUCGUGAGAUGUUGGGUUAAGUCCCGCAACGAGCGCAACCCUUACUAUUAGUUGCUACGCAAGAGCACUCUAAUGGGACUGCCGUUGACAAAACGGAGGAAGGUGGGGAUGACGUCAAAUCAUCAUGCCCUUUAUGACCUGGGCUACACACGUAAUACAAUGGCAAUUAACAACGGGAGGCUAAGCCGCGAGGUGGAGCAAAUCCCCAAAAAUUGUCUCAGUUCGGAUCGCAGGCUGCAACUCGCCUGCGUGAAGUCGGAAUUGCUAGUAAUCGCGGAUCAGCAUGCCGCGGUGAAUACGUUCCCGGGCCUUGUACACACCGUAGUAC
RNAcentral lists this ribosomal RNA (433 nucleotides) under uncultured bacterium. RNAcentral describes it as "bacterial SSU rRNA". It matches the Rfam family "Bacterial small subunit ribosomal RNA", at positions 958 to 1398 of the family's 1533-position model. The record is from RNAcentral.